CACCGUUUCGUUCUGUAUUUCUCUAGAUCGCCGCUGUUAUGCCCAGAAUUCGUGAUCCCCAAAGACCACCAGGGAGCCGAGUCCGAUGCAAAAGCAAAAGAGCCUUUAUUCGAGCUAGCUCGAGCUCAAUCCCCUACCUGCACCGACACAGCGGUGAGAUACCAGGGAGAGAGAGCGAGUUUCAAAAGCACAAAGGUUUUAUAGGGGUCUAGGGGCAGUUGGUGAGGUAACGGCUGUGGGCUCAGCCGAUUGGCUGGGGAAGGGUUGUGGCCUCGGCUGAUUGGCUGGGGAAGGGUCGGCGUCCUGUUACGCAGGUCGCUGGGUGUGUUUUGAUCAGGAAGUUUGAACGGGUGAGCGGGAGGUUACUCAAGGGGAGGAGGCGCGGUCUGAGGUUUCUUCGUUUUCCCGGAAAAGGGGUCAUGUCUGGGACAUAGUCACUCAAGGUGGAGGACACAGAGCAAGAUGGAGUCGGCCGGCGUAGGCCCACCCUUUCAGCCGCUCUUGUCCAAAGUCCUGGAGCGCUGAGGAAGAGAACAGAAGCCUGAGAGGGGAAGUUACUUUUGUUCUUCCAGUAUCAAUAGAUCAACUAGAUGGCCCCCAAGAGGAACCACUGGCACCACGUCUGAGGGGGAGCUGGAACGCAGGUGUUCAUGCCGAGUCCAGGAAUGCCGGUUGGAAGGGAGAGAUGGUUGUGUGCACAGAUGAUUUAUCCUGGAGUGGAGGUCACUUGAGGUGUGCCUGGUACCGGCCACAAUGUGAAAAUAACACAGCACAAGCUCCGUUGAGCUCCUGGCACAGACCAGCCACUAUUCUAGGAACUCUGGAGGCAAACAUAAGACAGAUAUUCUCCACGUUUAGAAGACAGUCAGAGGAUGCGUAUUGAGGGAAGACAAACCAACUGGGACAGACUUCGCUCCACGUUGCUUUUGAGGAAUACAGGAGAAAUUCCUGCAUAGAUGCCCAUGUUCACCUCCAUUCAUCUCCACCUGCAAAGAAACACACGGAUCUGGCUUCUUUGUGGAUUCUCUUUGAGUCCUGUGACACUCCCAGGAGUGGUUCCUACGUGAGGGCAUGUCACUCAUCAUUCCCCAACCACCACCCCGGGGUCAGCUCAGAGCUUGGAGGAAGUAGCCUCUGAGUAAGAGCGCCACCCGUGGUAGACAUAACCCACAGCUCCAUCAGCCCAGAUCACUUCCUGGGUGCAGCCCAGAUCACUUCCUGGAUGUAGCCCAGAUCACUUCCUGGGUGCCUGUGUGUGCCUCCUUCUGAUCCCAGGUUCUGUUCACCUCACCUGACACUUUCAGAGCCAGUUCUCAAUUCAGAUGAUAAUCUAGCACGAAAAAUAAAACGACCCUCACCUAAAAGGAGCCA
RNAcentral lists this long non-coding RNA (1371 nucleotides) under Felis catus (domestic cat). RNAcentral describes it as "lncRNA (ENSFCAG00000047656.1)". The record is from RNAcentral. Lineage: Eukaryota; Metazoa; Chordata; Mammalia; Carnivora; Felidae.